CAGGUGCUCUUCCCCUUGUUUUGUCCCUUAGAGGACAGGGCUGGCAAUGCUCCCUCUGGAUAUUGAAGGCCAAGCUUGAGUGAAAUUGUGGACACAUUCCUGAAGUGUCGGGCACAUCGAAAUCAAGCACAGUCUAUUUAACAGAGGAAGCCCAUUUCAUUCCUCUGCAAUCUCUCACCUUCAUUCUAAUGUUCUCUUUUUUUUCAGUUUAUGGAGAAGUGGCAGAUAGCUCAGAAGACUCUUCUGAGAUUGAUGUUGUCACUGUCAGUGACGAUGAGUCUGCUCUGCAGAUCCAGCAGCAGCCACAUCUUUUCAGGGCCCCAGAGAACUCAGCUGAGCCACUGCCAAGGAAUGAUGGAGUGGCGCCAAGAGAAGAUGAUGGUGCACGGACAGCAAUUCUCAUCAUUCCGCUAAUUCCUGAGGCUGACAACGCAGAGGGCAGCAGCUGUUUGUGCUCCUGCUGUGAAUGUUCUUAUCCAAACUUGGAGGGUGAUAGCCUACCCUUCCUCACUCCUCUGCUAGAACUGCUUUCUGAGCUGAGGUUUGCAUGCAGCACAGGGGGCUCACCAAAUCUAAUUGUAUCUUCUUUUCUUUCCCUUCUCGUGUACAUCAAUGGAAGCUUCUUCAAGUGCAUGGACAAGAAUGGAGAAAUGUGGCAGUGA
Molecule: long non-coding RNA, 662 nt
Filed under: Cyanistes caeruleus (blue tit)
Lineage: Eukaryota; Metazoa; Chordata; Aves; Passeriformes; Paridae
Description: lncRNA (ENSCCEG00000002996.1)
Source: RNAcentral